RNAcentral lists this transfer RNA (83 nucleotides) under Clostridia bacterium. RNAcentral's name for it is "tRNA-Leu". It matches the Rfam family "tRNA". Rfam says of the family: Transfer RNA (tRNA) molecules are approximately 80 nucleotides in length. Their secondary structure includes four short double-helical elements and three loops (D, anti-codon, and T loops). The record is from RNAcentral. Lineage: Bacteria; Bacillati; Bacillota; Clostridia.
GCGGGAGUGGCGGAAUCGGCAGACGCGCACGUUUGAGGGGCGUGUGUUUUUACGUACGGGUUCAAGUCCCGUCUCCCGCACCA